CACGUAUGGGGCGAGCGUUGUUCGGAAUUAUUGGGCGUAAAGGGCACGCAGGCGGACUGGAAAGUCUGGUGUGUAAGACCGCAGCUUAACUGCGGGAUCGCACUGGAAACUAUCAGUCUUGAGUUCAAGAAGGGUAACUGGAAUUCCUGGUGUAGGGGUGAAAUCUGUAGAUAUCAGGAAGAACAUCGGUGGCGAAGGCGAGUUACUGGCUAUGAACUGACGCUGAGGUGCGAAAGCGUGGGGAGCGAACAGG
RNAcentral lists this unclassified non-coding RNA (253 nucleotides) under uncultured Spirochaetaceae bacterium. Its description in RNAcentral is "contains 16S-23S intergenic spacer region". It matches the Rfam family "Bacterial small subunit ribosomal RNA", at positions 524 to 776 of the family's 1533-position model. Lineage: Bacteria; Pseudomonadati; Spirochaetota; Spirochaetia; Spirochaetales; Spirochaetaceae. The record is from RNAcentral.